RNAcentral lists this ribosomal RNA (253 nucleotides) under uncultured bacterium. Its description in RNAcentral is "partial 16S ribosomal RNA". It matches the Rfam family "Bacterial small subunit ribosomal RNA", at positions 524 to 776 of the family's 1533-position model. The record is from RNAcentral.
UACGUAGGGUGCGAGCGUUAAUCGGAAUUACUGGGCGUAAAGCGUGCGCAGGCGGUUUUGUAAGCCAGAUGUGAAAGCCCCGGGCUUAACCUGGGAAUGGCAUUUGGGACUGCAAGGCUGGAGUGUGGCAGAGGAGACUGGAAUUCCUGGUGUAGCAGUGAAAUGCGUAGAUAUCAGGAGGAACACCUAUGGCGAAGGCAGCUCACUGGGACGGUACUGACGCUGAGACGCGAAAGCGUGGGGAGCAAACAGG